UGGCACCAGCACUGGCGGUGG
This 21-nucleotide microRNA is filed under the name Bos taurus (domestic cattle). RNAcentral describes it as "bta-miR-9851". The record is from miRBase by way of RNAcentral. Lineage: Eukaryota; Metazoa; Chordata; Mammalia; Artiodactyla; Bovidae.